This is an RNA transcript of Brassica rapa (field mustard), 5156 nucleotides long. It is a transcript of the gene named conserved oligomeric Golgi complex subunit 5, with no coding region annotated. Lineage: Eukaryota; Viridiplantae; Streptophyta; Magnoliopsida; Brassicales; Brassicaceae. The record is from RefSeq and is a predicted model, not a curated record.
UCAGACCAUAAAAACUCUGUUCGAUUGCAACUCCAGUGUACUAAAAAAAAAAUUACUCGCGAGAGAGAGAGAGAGAGAGAUGAUGGCACUUCCUCCUCAUUCCCCAUCAUCGUCACCAUCUCUUCAACGUCUCUCCACCUUCAAAAACCCACCUCCUUCCGGACCCUCACCACCGUCUUCUUCAUCUUCACCGCUAGACUCCUUCGCCAACGACCCAAUCCUCGCCCCAUUCCUCUCCCCAUCCUUCUCCUCCUCCUCCUUCUCCUCCGCCGCACUCGCCUCCGGCUCCCCCGCCUCCACCGCCGAGCGUCUCCACCAAGCCAUCCGCCUCCUCGACUCCCAGCUCCGCAGCGACGUCGUCUCCCGCCACCCCGAGCUCCUCUCCCAGCUCUCCUCCCUCUCCCACGCCGAGAUCUCCCUCUCCUCCCUCCGCUCCUCCGUCUCCUCCCUCCAAUCCUCCAUCCGCCGCAUCCGAUCCGAUCUCUCCGACCCCGUGCGAUCAAUCAGAUCCAAAUCUACUCAGCUCUCGAACCUCCACUCCGCCACCGAGCUCCUCUCUCACUCCGUCCGCGCCCUCCGCCUCUCCAAGAAGCUCCGCGAUCUAACGGACGGAUCCGAUCCGGAGAAGAUCGAUCUCACGAAAGCCGCGCAGCUCCAUUUCGAGAUCUUGACGAUGUGUAGAGAGUACGAUCUCUUCGGGAUCGACGUCAUCGACGAGGAGAUUAAGUUUGUUAACGAGAUCGGGGAGAAGCUGAGAUCUGAAGCCAUGAAGGUGUUGGAGAGAGGCGUGGAAGGGCUGAAUCAAGCCGAGGUUGGGACUGGGUUGCAGGUUUUCUAUAACCUUGGGGAGCUUAAGCUUACGGUUGAUCAAUUGGUGAACAAGUACAAAGGCAUGGCUGUGAAGAGUGUAGGCGUUGCGAUGGACAUGAAAGCGAUUUCUUCUGGGCCUGGUGGCGGUGGUUAUGGGCCGGGAGGGAUUAGGUCUAGCGGAGCGCCGCACAUUGGUGGUGGAGGUAAGGUUAGGGAGGCGCUGUGGCAGAGGAUGGGGAGUUGUAUGGAUCAGUUGUAUGCGCUUGUAAAGGCUGUGUGGCAUUUGCAGCGUGUGCUGUCGAAGAAGAGAGAUCCUUUUACGCAUGUUCUUCUUCUUGAUGAAGUCAUCAAGGAAGGUGAUUCUAUGUUAACAGACAGAGUCUGGGAUGCACUUGUGAAGGCGUUUACUAGCCAAAUGAAGUCUGCAUUCACAGCUUCGAGUUUCGUGAAAGAAAUAUUCACCAUGGGAUAUCCAAAGCUAGUGUCUAUGAUAGAAAACCUCCUUGAAAGGAUAGCUCGCGACACCGAUGUGAAAGGAGUGUUACCUGCGGUUAACUCAGAGAGGAAAGAACAAAUGGUUUCAUGCAUUGCGAUAUUCCAGACUGCUUUCUUAUCACUAUGCUUUGGAAGGUUGUCAGAUCUUGUGAACUCUAUAUUCCCUAUGUCGAGCCGUGGGAGUUUGCCUUCCAAAGAACAGAUCUCACAGGUGUUAUCACACAUUCAAGAUGAGAUCGAAGCUGUUCAUCCUGAUGGUCGUUUGACUCUUCUGGUUUUGCGUGAGAUAGGUAAGGCCCUUAGUAACCUUGCUCAACGAGCUGAGUGCCAGAUCUCUACAGGCCCUGAGACGCGUCAGAUAACAGGUCCAGCAACUUCAACACAGAUCAGGAACUUCACAUUAUGCCAGCAUCUGCAAGGAAUCCACACGCACAUCUCAUCCAUGGUAGCUGACCUUCCCAGUAUCGCCGCUGAUGUACUGUCUCCUCAUCUGGGUGCGAUAUACGCUGCGGCAUGCGAGCCGGUGACACCUUUGUUUAAAGCGAUGCGAGACCAGCUCGAGUCAUGCAUUCUUCAGAUCCACGAUCAAAACUUUGGUGUUGAUGAUGCUGCCUUGGACAACAACACUUCCCCAUACAUGGAGGAGUUGCAGAGAUCGAUUCUCCACUUCCGCAGAGAGUUCCUAUCUAGACUGUUGCCUUCCGCAGCGAGCGCGAACACCCCAGGGACAGAAUCGAUCUGCACUAGACUCGCUAGACAGAUGGCUUCGAGGGUUUUGAUCUUCUACAUCAGGCAUGCUUCCCUGGUGCGACCACUAUCAGAAUGGGGAAAACUCAGGAUGGCUAGAGACAUGGCAGAGCUGGAACUCGCGGUGGGACAGAAUCUGUUCCCUGUGGAGCAACUCGGUGCACCGUACAGAGCUCUCAGAGCAUUUAGGCCGUUGAUAUUCCUGGAAACAUCUGAAAUGGGAUCAUCUCCUCUCAUCCAGGAUCUACCACCUAGCAUCGUCCUGCAUCAUCUCUACACGAGAGGCCCAGACGACUUAGAGUCACCUAUGCAGAAGAACAGACUGAGUCCUAAGCAGUACUCGCUGUGGCUUGAUAACCAAAAAGAGGAUCAGAUCUGGAAGGGGGUUAAAGCGACUUUGGAUGAUUAUGCAGGGAAGAUCAGGUCGAGAGGGGACAAAGAGUUUAGUCCAGUUUAUCCUCUAAUGCUUCAGAUUGGUUCUUCUUUGACAGAAGGAAACGUAUAAGCUCUCCCUCAGGUUGAAUCAAUAACAUGUUUUGGGUGUCUCAAGUAGUUUUCUUUCAGUUAUUGUGACAAUACCUAUCUUUCACAUACAUGUCAUGUAAAUCCAGAUUCAGACAUCAUGACAUGGCUGGUGCCUUCUAUAUAGAGUUUUGUGCUUCGUUUAAAGAAACUCCUGCUUCUGUGUUUAUAUGUUUAGAUCAUAUUCAAGAGUUUACGCUGCAAGGAAGGGAGAUUCAUAGAUGAUAUUCACACCAAAGAGUACAACAGAGUCAUAUAUACAACAAAGUCUGCAAGACUGUAACUAUUCAGAAUCUCUCGUAAGGAGGUUCUUCUUCUACUACUACUAUCUCUCUCGGUUACAAAGGUGAACGAUGGAACAUUAAUUCCCAACGGGAAUAGAUCUCUCUCCUAAGCCGAGAGGUGAACGUGAACGUUGACGCCUCUUGGUUUCCGCGAGGACCCUUCUCAUCUCCGGUUGCUGCAGCGAUGGCUGACUUAUCUUUUCGAAUUCUUUCUUUAUCUUCACCACUUGGCUAUGUUUCGGACCAUCUUCGUUUCCAUUAUUUGGCUUGUUCUUCAUUUCCAUCACACAAAACCAGGAGACAAACAAAGAAAACCCGAGUUGUGUCUGAAAGUAGAGAAGAUAAAUCAGGCUUGGUGAGCAACGACAACUUGGUUUGGGAAGAUUAUAAUAAUACAGAGCGACGACUACUACUACUAUUUCUUGAUCUUAUCUCCCUAUGUUUAUAGACAAACGCGAAGAAUGAGACAAGGACGGCGUUCUCGGUGAGAUGUGGUUACGUGUUAGAUUGUGACGAUUCUCCUCAACACAUUUCUUCGAAAUUGACCAUUCCUUGGAUAUUUGAAACUCGAGAAAGAGUCGGUUCUUUGAACGUUGAGAGACUUAUUAAAAGGCUGCCCAUGUUGACUCAAGUCGUUGGUCAAUUAGAAGAUUCUGGUGGAUAUCCGUUUGAGACCAUUAUUGAUAAUUGUUAUGCAAACGCAUUAGACUCGUGUUCCUUUUUGGGAUUAAGUAUAAGAUGAUUACACGUUUUGUUCUUUCCUAUUUUUUUUUCCAGCUCCACAUUUGUCUAUACCAUUCUUUUGUGGAGCUUUCCUUAAUCCAGUAAUUCAAAUGAGAGUUUUAAUACUUUUACAUCAAUAAUAUAUGAGUUUUGAAUAUUAAAAGCAACUUAACUUGUUAAUAAUCAGUUAUGACUUAUAAGAGUAUGGCAAACCCUCAACUUGGAACUUCAACCACAAAAUGAUCAGCUAAGAAUCAAAGAUGCUUUUGAAUUUAAGGCGAGGUUACGAAUAAUAAUGAGUUUAUCUAUAAAAAUAUGAACACAAAGCGUUGUACUUCCACCUUAAUUAGUUUUAAGUCUUAUAAUCUAAUGUAAAAGCUCAAUAAAUAGAAACUAUAGCAUGUUUAAUUUCAGUUUGGUUAUUAUUAUUUUAUUUGUAUUCAGCCAAUGUAGAAUUCGAUUUCACACUUGAAUGGACAUAUCAAUUAAAAAUAUGAACCGAAUCAGAAUUCUGAAAAUGUGUCUACUCAACUUUCGGUGUGGUGGUGGUGGAAAAGAGAAUAAGAUUCAGAUAAAUAUCAUCAUUAUAUGAGUAAUUGAGAGAGGGAAUCAUAUCAAACAUUACACUACACGUCUUGUAUCUUGUAUAUAUAUGGAGACACAGAAAUAUUUUAAUCACGUCCUCACAUCAAAGAAAACUAAGCCAAGUAUAUUUAUAAAUAAAUAAAUAAUGCUUGACAAACUUAUCGGAGAGUACGGGCAUGGAUACGGCAAUGGGUACGGCCACAAGGAUCACAGAAGCAGCGGCUACGGCUUUGAGGAGCACAAGAAGUACGAGUCUCAUAUGGAGUCAGAAGGAGGCUACUUUGACCGUCAAGCCCGCUACGACCACCGCGUGAGGCUUCCAGCCAACCACGCCCGUCCACCCAUGGCUCACAUGCCACCCUGUGAUGAAGAAGACUCCGACUCAGAUGUAGAGGAGUUCUAUAAGAGUAGCCGAAGCCACCACACUACAGUGUUACCGCACCACGGCAAAAUCCACCACCAACAACCACCUCAUAUGAACUUCAUGCCCCCACCUCCGAUGUCUCGACCUCACCACAGUGGAAAGAUGGGUAAUGGAUGGCAGGGGAGGCAUGAAGAUGCAUACCUCGGUGGGCAUGGGAUGCAGCACCACGGUGAGCACGGGAUGCAGCACCACGGUGAGCACGGGAUGAAGCACCAGGACAGGCUUAUGGCUCCUCAGGUGUUACCACAUCAUGUCUACAUGAACCCAAACAGCGGAGGCGGCCACCACAAGGCCGGGUGGGGGAGUAAGGGCCUCUAACUGCAACCAACUACUCUACCGGUUCAAAUAAAAAGUAAUGAUUAUGUAUAAUACCAGUUAACGAAACUAUAAUUAAGAAUUAAGAUGUGUGUGUGAGGAACAUGUUUCAGUAUCCUACUAAACCUAAACAUAGGCCUUUUAGCAAAAAAUAAAGGAAGUGUUCUUGUUUGAGAAACUUAUGAUUACUAAAAGGUGUGUUGUUGUUGCUGCUUAUGUUAAAUAAAAAUGAUGCAAGUAUUAUGAAUUUA